This 728-nucleotide ribosomal RNA is filed under the name Gymnosiphon minutus. RNAcentral's name for it is "eukaryotic LSU rRNA". The stretch from base 317 to 472 matches the Rfam family "5.8S ribosomal RNA". The record is from RNAcentral. Lineage: Eukaryota; Viridiplantae; Streptophyta; Magnoliopsida; Dioscoreales; Burmanniaceae.
AGGUUUCCGUAGGUGAACCUGCGGAAGGAUCAUUGUCGUGACCCGAGAAUAAUAAAUUGACGGAAAUUUGUCCACCAAGGAUGCUGCUUUGAUGGGAUGCGCAAAGGACNGAGUAGGAUUUUCCUGCUUGCUUUUUUGUUGCUCCCGUCGGGCGGUUGUUGUCAAGCCAUUGCUUCCCCGGCGAGGGACGACGGUAGAUGAUUUGUUAAACCUGGCACGAUACGUGUCAAGGAUCUUCUUUGCCGUGUAGCCUGGCGUUGUUGUUAUUGAUAACUUUCGCUCGCAUCGAGAGCUAUUAUAAAGUCAUAUCUAUGAUGACUCUCGGCAACGGAUAUCUAGGCUCUCGCAUCGAUGAAGAACGUAGCGAAAUGCGAUAUUUGGUGUGAAUUGCAGAAUCCCGUGAACCAUCGAGUUUUUGAACGCAAGUUGCGCCCGAGACCUUUAGGUCGAGGGCACGCCUGCCUGGGCGUCAUGCCUCGUGUCACUCCAUCUAUAUCUCAUGCUCAUGCAUCGGGAAGGAUGGAAGUGGAGAUUGGCUUACCGUGUCUCUUAUGGCAUGGUGGGCUAAAGGUUGGAAUGUCAAUGUGGCAUAUGAACACGACUUGUGGUGGAUGGACAACAUUAUUGGCCAAGACCGAUGUCGUUUUCUUCCUUUGACAUUUAUUGCAAACAAACCUUUGAAGGUAUUGUUAUAUCUCGCGUGCGACCCCAGGUCAGGCGGGACCACC